Carica papaya (papaya) is the source of this 866-nucleotide non-coding RNA. The record is from RefSeq and is a predicted model, not a curated record. NCBI's taxonomy places the organism in Eukaryota, Viridiplantae, Streptophyta, Magnoliopsida, Brassicales, Caricaceae.
CAAUUUUUCUCUCUCUCAAUAGGCCCUCUUUUCUUUUCCUUCAUAAUUUCAUUCUGUCAUUAUUACUUUUUUUUUUUCUUUCCUAAGAUACAUACACCCACAUCUACAAUAUAUACAAAUAUAUCUCUAUAGUUCAGGAUUAUUGACUUAGUGGCAACCUAUUUUCUGCUGUGUAUGUGAUAUGUUGGCUAAAUUUUUGUUGUGUCAAAUUGAGAUUUGAUGAAAAUAAUACAGCUCUGUUUCUUAAUAGUGUUUUCUGACAAAAGUAAUGGAAUGCUGGAAAACAAGAUAAAUUAUUUUCUUUUUAAUGAGGAAAACAUAUGAAGAAUAAUUGUAGUCUACAUCACCCACUUUUCUAAUUCUAUUCUUUUUUCCCACACCACACCCAUUUGCUAUUUCUUUCUUCUCUUGAAUCAUGGCAGUUCUUGUACUAACAUAGCUGUAAGGUAAAGGUAUCUCAACCCUACUCUCUUUCUCUCUCUUCUGUUCUUACUCUAUAUUUAAUAAUUUUUUUUUAUCAUUCUUUGUGUUUGAUUUUCUCUUAUUGUGAUAUUUGGCUUGCUUUCAUCACAUGCCUCAGAAAUUUUAUAAAAUAAAUUUCAAUUUGUUGCAGCUUUAUCAUUCCUUUAUCCUCAUUUGCUUUCUCUUUUUAUUAUUUAGUGGAAGAUUAUGUGAGAUUUUGCCACCUAGCACAUGAUUACUUGUAAAUGGCGGUAUGUUGGGUUGUGAGGCAAAAAAUCAAUGCCACCAAACAGUCUUUUAAACCUUUUUAAAUCCAGAAGGCCAUACAUGGGUGAAUCCGCAAUAAUUAAGCUAAAGAAUGGGGGGACUAAGAUAAUGUAUGCUUCUUCUUCCCAGGACCAAAA